GGGAAAUCAAGCCUAAUUGCAGCCAUGGCUAAUUACUUAAACUUUGAUAUUUAUGAUUUGGAGCUUUCCAGUGUCUUUUCUAAUGUUGAGCUAAGAAGGCUGUUGUUAAAUACAACUAAUCGAUCAAUACUCGUUGUUGAAGAUAUAGAUUGUCAUUCAGAGGUGCGAGAUCGAUCCAAACUUAUGAAAGAAGAACAACUUAACCCCAAGAAAUAUCCCAAGGCAUUCACACUCUCAACUCUGCUAAAUUGCAUCGAUGGAUUAUGGUC
This 269-nucleotide unclassified non-coding RNA is filed under the name Hevea brasiliensis (rubber tree). Lineage: Eukaryota; Viridiplantae; Streptophyta; Magnoliopsida; Malpighiales; Euphorbiaceae. The record is from RNAcentral.